Molecule: long non-coding RNA, 2246 nt
Organism: Bombus huntii
Lineage: Eukaryota; Metazoa; Arthropoda; Insecta; Hymenoptera; Apidae
Exons: 2
Source: RefSeq, a predicted model, not a curated record
ACAAACAACAUUUAUAACUAUACAUAUAAUUCUCACUUAUAUCUACCAAUAUAUAUAUACACGCAUGUUGUAAAGUAGGCGAUAUUUAUAACACUCACUUCCAUUGAUAAUGCAAGUGACUCAUAAAAAUAAGCCGUCAUAUUUACCAUUACACGCACAUAUAUAUAUAUUCAAAGACAAGCUAUAUUUGUAAUAUCUAUUCCUAUUGAUAAUAUAUACUUAUAUAUUCAUAACAAUAAAACAAAUCUCAUCUAUACUACUUACCAAUACGUAUGCAUAUAUGUAUAUAAUUAUAACCCAAGUAGCAUUCAUAAUAUUUAUUUUCACUGAUAACAUGUACGUAAAACCUAAAAUAAAACAAAGACACCACCAGUCAAAUUUCCUUUGGAAAUUUGAACUCCAAGGGCGGGGGUGUCACGUCCCGCGCUCCGCACGCGCCGUAACAAGAACAAGAAAACCAUUCUAUACAAAACGCGCGAAUAAGGAUUUGAAUGCACAAACGAACACACGGCGCUACGAAACUAAAGGAAGGAUUAACAAAACGAGGGCGACUAAUAGAUCCAACCAAUAAACAAAACACAUAUACACACAACUCUAAAUAAACCUACCAAUAACCGACUUGCAAUUUGAAAACUUGUGGUUCAAUAUAAUAUAAAUCCAACCAGUAUAAAAUAAAAUAAAUAGAACCAGCUAAUGGAUUGAACGAGUUAUGAACCAAGCAAAUAAACCAGGAAAUAAGAAUAACUACAAAAGGGGAAAUAAUUGAAACGCCAGGAAUACAUGUAUAUAUAAAUAUAUUUUAAUCAAUCAACUUGGAGAGUUACAUAUAAGUAUAAACAUAUAUGCCAGACAUGUAAUAAACUAGUAAAUAUUAGAGACAGUACUUCCAAUACUAUGCAACAAAUACAAUAUUAUCAAUUUAUGAAAUAUAAGUAUAUAUGAAGUCAAAAACUAAUAGUCUAACGAAUACAUAAAACAUACAAUAUUGUAUUAUUAAAGAAAUAAAAGUUACAUUGUCAGAAACAUAUAUAUAUGUGUGCGCAUUCUAUCAAACAGUAAUCUAAGAUACAUACUUAACUAGCCUACAUUCCGGUAAAGAGUUAUAAAAUAAGAACUACAUUACGAAACAUCCAUGUCUAUAUAUAAAUAUAUAUAAUCUAUAUUCUAAACUAAAUUACUACUAAUGUGUGCGCAUUCUACAUUAUUAAAUCAAAUUAGUAAUCUAAGAUACAUACUUAAAACUAGCCUACAUUCCGGUAAAGAGUUAUAAAAUAAGAACUACAUUACGAAACAUGCAUGUCUCUACAUAAAUAUAUAAAUAAUCUAUAUUCUAAACUAAACCACUACUAAUAAUCUACAAAAGAAAUAGAACACACAACGCAACACUUGGGACUAAGCGACAACCUAUCGAUAGGCCAAACGCUCAAAAUAAUUAACACCGCAACGACUUGAGGAAUUCUAUCAUCAAACACAAGUAUGUAAACACACAUUAAACACACAAUAAUCUAGAAACAAAACCUUCAAUACUAUGUUGCCACAAUACAAGAUAUAUAUGUAUAUAUGAAAUCAAAUGAUUGACACAUAACCUCAAAUACACAUUAUAUCGCUAAGGAAUCUAAAUGAAAAUCACAUUGCCAGAAAUAUAUACAUAUAUACGUGUGCGUAUGCGUGUUCUAUCUUGUUAAAUGAAGUUAAUAUAAAAUAAAUAAUUGACAUUUCAUUUCGUAUGAAUACUACACUGCCAGAAGAAAUAUGCAUAUGAAUACGUAUAUAUAUGUGUGUGUGUGUGUGUGUGUGUGUGUGUGCGUAUGUUUUAUAUUAUCGAACACUCUAUAAAAUAAACUACUCAAAACAAUAAAUAACGCUAUCGAAGAAUUACAAAACAUUAGUCAUAUUAAAAUGACACACAACAUAAAUAUAUAUAUAUAUAUAUAUAUAUAUAUUCACACGAACAAUACUAUUGUCACUUUAAACAAUAUUAAUAAAUAAAUGUUCUAAUUGCGGUAGAAUAAGGAAAAACGAGCGACAGACGGAAAAUUACUUCGAUAACAAAACUAAAGACCCGCCACUAUAACUUUACUAAUGACAUUUAUGAGCAGCCAUGUUAGAUUUACACGUGCGCAUCGGAACAACUAACGCGCGUCAUGGCGACAGGAAUAUUAGGGAUUAAUGGAAAUCAGGCGCGAGAAACAAAUCAUGAAAACACAUUGUUAACAUUUUUCUUUAAUAAAUUCUAUGCGCAACUA